This 65-nucleotide transfer RNA is filed under the name Leptestheria brevirostris. RNAcentral describes it as "tRNA-Glu". The record is from RNAcentral. Lineage: Eukaryota; Metazoa; Arthropoda; Branchiopoda; Diplostraca; Leptestheriidae.
GCUGCUGUAGUAAAAUGAUUACUUUACGUUUUCGUCGUAAGAUUAAGAAAAAUUCUUUAGCGGUG